CUUUCAGUAUUGUUAUGACUACCUCACAUGCAUGGGCAUGGACAAGUCGGAAGUCAUGUACAGCGAUGAGAAAAAGAAUCUGUGCCUGCUGCUGGAGAAACAGCACGACGAGGAAAGGAAGAAGGAAAAGGAGAGGUCCGAGACAGGCACAGCAUUGGAUUAGGACCUCGGGGACUUUGGGGGCCUAUCCUGAGACCCCCACCCACCCUCUGUGCCUCAGUUCUUUCCAUCAAUUCCACCAAUAAAAUUUCUGCAUUUGGAA
Long non-coding RNA from Myotis brandtii (Brandt's bat), 262 nucleotides. RefSeq lists it as uncharacterized. The record is from RefSeq and is a predicted model, not a curated record. Lineage: Eukaryota; Metazoa; Chordata; Mammalia; Chiroptera; Vespertilionidae. The transcript is spliced from 2 exons.